Molecule: ribosomal RNA, 403 nt
Filed under: Bacteroidota bacterium
Lineage: Bacteria; Pseudomonadati; Bacteroidota
Description: Bacteroidetes bacterium partial 16S ribosomal RNA
Rfam family: Bacterial small subunit ribosomal RNA
Source: RNAcentral
UGGGGAAUAUUGCACAAUGGGGGAAACCCUGAUGCAGCGACGCCGCGUGAACGAAGAAGGUAUUCGUAUCGUAAAGUUCUGUCCUAUGGGAAGAUAAUGACAGUACCAUAGAAGAAAGCUCCGGCUAAAUACGUGCCAGCAGCCGCGGUAAUACGUAUGGAGCGAGCGUUGUCCGGAAUUAUUGGGCGUAAAGGGUACGCAGGCGGUUUAAUAAGUCGAAUGUUAAAGAUCGGGGCUCAACCCCGUAAAGCAUCGGAAACUGAUAAACUUGAGUAGUGGAGAGGAAAGUGGAAUUCCUAGUGUAAUGGUGAAAUACGUAGAUAUUAGGAGGAAUACCAGUAGCGAAGGCGACUUUCUGGACACAAACUGACGCUGAGGUACGAAAGCGUGGGGAGCAAACAGG